UACGUAGGGUGCGAGCGUUAAUCGGAAUUACUGGGCGUAAAGCGUGCGCAGGCGGUUUUGUAAGGCAGAGGUGAAAUCCCCGGGCUUAACCUGGGAACUGCCUUUGUGACUGCAAGGCUUGAGUGCGGCAGAGGGGGAUGGAAUUCCGCGUGUAGCAGUGAAAUGCGUAGAUAUGCGGAGGAACACCGAUGGCGAAGGCAAUCCCCUGGGCCUGCACUGACGCUCAUGCACGAAAGCGUGGGGAGCAAACAGG
Molecule: ribosomal RNA, 253 nt
Filed under: uncultured bacterium
Lineage: Bacteria
Description: partial 16S ribosomal RNA
Rfam family: Bacterial small subunit ribosomal RNA
Source: RNAcentral